Molecule: ribosomal RNA, 459 nt
Filed under: uncultured bacterium
Lineage: Bacteria
Description: partial 16S ribosomal RNA
Rfam family: Bacterial small subunit ribosomal RNA
Source: RNAcentral
CCUAGGGAGGCUGCAGUGAGGAAUAUUGGUCAAUGGGCGGGAGCCUGAACCAGCCAAGCCGCGUGAGGGAAGAAGGUACAGCGUAUCGUAAACCUCUUUUGUCAGGGAACAAAGGCGGGGACUAGUCCCCGGAUGAGGGUACCUGAAGAAAAAGCAUCGGCUAACACGGUGCCAGCAGCCGCGGUAAUACGGAGGAUGCGGGCGUUAUCCGGAUUUAUUGGGGUUAAAGGGUGCGUAGGUUGUUUUUUAAGUCAGCGGUGAAAGUUUGUGGCUCAACCAUAAAAUUGCCGUUGAAACUGGAAGACUUGAGUGUGUUUGAGGUAGGCGGAAUGCGUGGUGUAGCGGUGAAAUGCAUAGAGAUCACGCAGAACUCCGAUUGCGAAGGCAGCUUACUAAGCCAUAACUGACACUGAAGCACGAAAGCGUGGGGAUCAAACAGGAUUAGAUACCCCUGUAGUC